Molecule: transfer RNA, 107 nt
Filed under: Conticribra weissflogii
Lineage: Eukaryota; Bacillariophyta; Thalassiosirophyceae; Thalassiosirales; Thalassiosiraceae
Rfam family: tRNA
About the family: Transfer RNA (tRNA) molecules are approximately 80 nucleotides in length.
Source: RNAcentral
CGAUAGCUCAGUUGGUAGAGCGGUGGACUGUAGUUGCGAGAACUUGACAAGAUAAUUCUUACAAUUUCUGCUAUGACAUCCAUCGGUCACUGGUUCGAUUCCGGUUC